CUUUAAGUAUCCUAAAGGGUUGUCGGAGACUACGACGUUGAUAGGUCAGGUGUGUAAGUGCUGUGAGGCAUUGAGCUAACUGAUACUAAUUGCCCGUGAGGCUUAACCAUACAACACCCAAGGGGUUU
RNAcentral lists this ribosomal RNA (128 nucleotides) under Vibrio parahaemolyticus. Its description in RNAcentral is "partial 23S ribosomal RNA". The stretch from base 1 to 110 matches the Rfam family "Bacterial large subunit ribosomal RNA", at positions 2813 to 2925 of the family's 2925-position model. Lineage: Bacteria; Pseudomonadati; Pseudomonadota; Gammaproteobacteria; Vibrionales; Vibrionaceae. The record is from RNAcentral.